This 468-nucleotide ribosomal RNA is filed under the name uncultured bacterium. Its description in RNAcentral is "partial 16S ribosomal RNA". It matches the Rfam family "Bacterial small subunit ribosomal RNA", at positions 28 to 507 of the family's 1533-position model. The record is from RNAcentral.
GACGAACGCUGGCGGCGUGCUUAACACAUGCAAGUCGAACGGAAAGGCCCUGCUUUUGUGGGGUGCUCGAGUGGCGAACGGGUGAGUAACACGUGAGUAACCUGCCCUUGACUUUGGGAUAACUUCAGGAAACUGGGGCUAAUACCGGAUAGGAGCUCCUGCUGCAUGGUGGGGGUUGGAAAGUUUCGGCGGUUGGGGAUGGACUCGCGGCUUAUCAGCUUGUUGGUGGGGUAGUGGCUUACCAAGGCUUUGACGGGUAGCCGGCCUGAGAGGGUGACCGGCCACAUUGGGACUGAGAUACGGCCCAGACUCCUACGGGAGGCAGCAUUGGGGAAUAUUGCACAAUGGGCGGAAGCCUGAUGCAGCAACGCCGCGUGCGGGAUGACGGCCUUCGGGUUGUAACCCGCUUUCGCCUGUGACGAAGCGUGAGUGACGGUAAUGGGUAAAGAAGCACCGGCUAACUACGUG